AUGGAGAGUUUGAUCCUGGCUCAGGAUGAAUGCUGGCGGCGUGCCUAACACAUGCAAGUCGAGCGGCAGCGCGAAUAGUUUACUAUUUGGCGGCGAGCGGCGGACGGCUGAGUAACGCGUGGGAAUCUACCCCAAAGUGAGGGAUAACUGCCCGAAAGGGUGGCUAAUACCGCAUAUGGUCUUCGGAUUAAAGGAUUUAUCUGCUUUGGGAGGAGCCCGCGUCGGAUUAGGUAGUUGGUAGGGUAAUGGCCUACCAAGCCGACGAUCCGUAGCUGGUCUGAGAGGAUGAUC
Molecule: ribosomal RNA, 291 nt
Filed under: Candidatus Saccharimonadota bacterium
Lineage: Bacteria; Candidatus Saccharimonadota
Description: partial 16S ribosomal RNA
Rfam family: Bacterial small subunit ribosomal RNA
Source: RNAcentral